CUUUCCUAACUUUUUCUUCUCUCUCUCUUUCUCUCUCCCUUCCUUUUUUUUUUUUUUUUUUCUCUUCUCCCUUUGACUCGCUUCUAUCUCACACUCACAUCCACAUAUUUAUAUUAAAAAAAAAAAAAAAAGGAGGAGGAGGAGAAAAAAAAGGAGGGGAGGGAGAAAUAGAAAGGAAGAAAAGAGGGAGGGGAGAA
This 197-nucleotide microRNA precursor is filed under the name Trypanosoma vivax Y486. The record is from RNAcentral. Lineage: Eukaryota; Euglenozoa; Kinetoplastea; Trypanosomatida; Trypanosomatidae.